GAUGAACGCUGGCGGCGUGCCUAAUACAUGCAAGUCGAGCGAACAGAUGAGGAGCUUGCUCCUCUGACGUUAGCGGCGGACGGGUGAGUAACACGUGGAUAACCUACCUAUAAGACUGGGAUAACUUCGGGAAACCGGAGCUAAUACCGGAUAAUAUAUUGAACCGCAUGGUUCAAUAGUGAAAGACGGUUUUGCUGUCACUUAUAGAUGGAUCCGCGCCGCAUUAUCUAGUUGGUAAGGUAACGGCUUACCAAGGCAACGCUGCGUAGCCGACCUGAGAGGUGAGGCGGCAAACCUGGACCUGAGCAACGGUCCAAACCCCAGUGUGGGCCGCAGUUGGGGAUUUUUCCGCAAUGGGCGAAGGCUGGACGGGCGAACGCCGGUUGGGUGAUGAAGGCCUCCGGAUCGAAAAACUUUGUUAUUGGGAAAGACCAAAUGUGUAAGUAACAAUGCGCGUCUGGACGUUACUUAUACGGAAACCCCCGGUGACCUCCGG
Molecule: ribosomal RNA, 496 nt
Filed under: uncultured bacterium
Lineage: Bacteria
Description: partial 16S ribosomal RNA
Rfam family: Bacterial small subunit ribosomal RNA
Source: RNAcentral